AUUGAACGCUGGCGGCAGGCCUAACACAUGCAAGUCGAACGGUAGCACAGAGAGCUUGCUCUCGGGUGACGAGUGGCGGACGGGUGAGUAACGUCUGGGAAACUGCCCGAUGGAGGGGGAUAACUACUGGAAACGGUAGCUAAUACCGCAUAACGUCGCAAGACCAAAGUGGGGGACCUUCGGGCCUCACACCAUCGGAUGUGCCCAGAUGGGAUUAGCUAGUAGGUGGGGUAAUGGCUCACCUAGGCGACGAUCCCUAGCUGGUCUGAGAGGAUGACCAACCACACUGGAACUGAGACACGGUCCAGACUCCUACGGGAGGCAGCAGUGGGGAGUAUUGCACAAUGGGCGCAAGCCUGAUGCAGCCAUGCCGCGUGUAUGAAGAAGGCCUUCGGGUUGUAAAGUACUUUCAGCGGGGAGGAAGGCGGUGGAGUUAAUAACUUCACCGAUUGACGUUACCCGCAGAAGAAGCACCGGCUAACUCCGUGCCAGCAGCCGCAGUAA
This 504-nucleotide ribosomal RNA is filed under the name uncultured bacterium. RNAcentral describes it as "partial 16S ribosomal RNA". It matches the Rfam family "Bacterial small subunit ribosomal RNA", at positions 30 to 523 of the family's 1533-position model. The record is from RNAcentral.